CAAAAAUAGGUGUUAUACCUAAGUUUUCAGUAACUGCAGCAUUUGGUGCAUAUUUUCCUACUACGAGAAAACAAAUCUACAAGCCCUAUUGUGUAUGGAGUUAAUACAGGAAUAUGUUUUUAGACCCCAUAUACCUGCUCCAUAUUCUAUUAUAGGACAAAACAAAGUUUCAUAUAAUUUUACAAAUACAACGAAACAAACACCACC
RNAcentral lists this long non-coding RNA (207 nucleotides) under Mytilus galloprovincialis (Mediterranean mussel). The record is from RNAcentral. Lineage: Eukaryota; Metazoa; Mollusca; Bivalvia; Mytilida; Mytilidae.